This 254-nucleotide ribosomal RNA is filed under the name uncultured bacterium. Its description in RNAcentral is "partial 16S ribosomal RNA". It matches the Rfam family "Bacterial small subunit ribosomal RNA", at positions 524 to 776 of the family's 1533-position model. The record is from RNAcentral.
UACGUAGGGUGCAAGCGUUGUCCGGAAUUAUUGGGCGUAAAGAGCUCGUAGGCGGUCUGUCGCGUCGAUCGUGAAAACUUGGGGCUUAACCCUGAGCUUGCGGUCGAUACGGGCAUGACUGGAGUUCGGCAGGGGAGACUGGAAUUCCUGGUGUAGCGGUGAAAUGCGCAGAUAUCAGGAGGAACACCGGUGGCGAAGGCGGGUCUCUGGGCCGAAACUGACGCUGAGGAGCGAAAGCGUGGGGAGCGAACAGG